This 2900-nucleotide ribosomal RNA is filed under the name Klebsiella pneumoniae. RNAcentral describes it as "bacterial LSU rRNA". It matches the Rfam family "Bacterial large subunit ribosomal RNA". The record is from RNAcentral. Lineage: Bacteria; Pseudomonadati; Pseudomonadota; Gammaproteobacteria; Enterobacterales; Enterobacteriaceae.
UUAAGCGACUAAGCGUACACGGUGGAUGCCCUGGCAGUCAGAGGCGAUGAAGGACGUGCUAAUCUGCGAAAAGCGUCGGUAAGGUGAUAUGAACCGUUAUAACCGGCGAUGUCCGAAUGGGGAAACCCAGUGCAAUUCGUUGCACUAUCGUUAACUGAAUACAUAGGUUAACGAGGCGAACCGGGGGAACUGAAACAUCUAAGUACCCCGAGGAAAAGAAAUCAACCGAGAUUCCCCCAGUAGCGGCGAGCGAACGGGGAGCAGCCCAGAGUCUGAAUCAGCUUGUGUGUUAGUGGAACGGUCUGGAAAGUCCGACGGUACAGGGUGAUAGUCCCGUACACCAAAAUGCACAGGCUGUGAACUCGAAGAGUAGGGCGGGACACGUGGUAUCCUGUCUGAAUAUGGGGGGACCAUCCUCCAAGGCUAAAUACUCCUGACUGACCGAUAGUGAACCAGUACCGUGAGGGAAAGGCGAAAAGAACCCCGGCGAGGGGAGUGAAAAAGAACCUGAAACCGUGUACGUACAAGCAGUGGGAGCACCUUCGGGUGUGACUGCGUACCUUUUGUAUAAUGGGUCAGCGACUUAUAUUCUGUAGCAAGGUUAACCGUAUAGGGGAGCCGCAGGGAAACCGAGUCUUAACUGGGCGUUAAGUUGCAGGGUAUAGACCCGAAACCCGGUGAUCUAGCCAUGGGCAGGUUGAAGGUUGGGUAACACUAACUGGAGGACCGAACCGACUAAUGUUGAAAAAUUAGCGGAUGACUUGUGGCUGGGGGUGAAAGGCCAAUCAAACCGGGAGAUAGCUGGUUCUCCCCGAAAGCUAUUUAGGUAGCGCCUCGUGAAUUCAUCUUCGGGGGUAGAGCACUGUUUCGGCUAGGGGGUCAUCCCGACUUACCAACCCGAUGCAAACUACGAAUACCGAAGAAUGUUAUCACGGGAGACACACGGCGGGUGCUAACGUCCGUCGUGAAGAGGGAAACAACCCAGACCGCCAGCUAAGGUCCCAAAGUCAUGGUUAAGUGGGAAACGAUGUGGGAAGGCACAGACAGCCAGGAUGUUGGCUUAGAAGCAGCCAUCAUUUAAAGAAAGCGUAAUAGCUCACUGGUCGAGUCGGCCUGCGCGGAAGAUGUAACGGGGCUAAACCAUGCACCGAAGCUGCGGCAGCGACACUAUGUGUUGUUGGGUAGGGGAGCGUUCUGUAAGCCUGCAAAGGUGACCUGUGAGGGUUGCUGGAGGUAUCAGAAGUGCGAAUGCUGACAUAAGUAACGAUAAAGCGGGUGAAAAGCCCGCUCGCCGGAAGACCAAGGGUUCCUGUCCAACGUUAAUCGGGGCAGGGUGAGUCGACCCCUAAGGCGAGGCCGAAAGGCGUAGUCGAUGGGAAACAGGUUAAUAUUCCUGUACUUGGUGUUACUGCGAAGGGGGGACGGAGAAGGCUAUGUUAGCCGGGCGACGGUUGUCCCGGUUUAAGCAUGUAGGCUGGUUAUCCAGGCAAAUCCGGAUAAUCAAGGCUGAGGUGUGAUGACGAGGCACUACGGUGCUGAAGUAACAAAUGCCCUGCUUCCAGGAAAAGCCUCUAAGCAUCAGGUAACAUCAAAUCGUACCCCAAACCGACACAGGUGGUCAGGUAGAGAAUACCAAGGCGCUUGAGAGAACUCGGGUGAAGGAACUAGGCAAAAUGGUGCCGUAACUUCGGGAGAAGGCACGCUGGUGUGUAGGUGAAGCCCCUGCGGGUGGAGCUGAGACCAGUCGAAGAUACCAGCUGGCUGCAACUGUUUAUUAAAAACACAGCACUGUGCAAACACGAAAGUGGACGUAUACGGUGUGACGCCUGCCCGGUGCCGGAAGGUUAAUUGAUGGGGUUAUCCGUAAGGAGAAGCUCUUGAUCGAAGCCCCGGUAAACGGCGGCCGUAACUAUAACGGUCCUAAGGUAGCGAAAUUCCUUGUCGGGUAAGUUCCGACCUGCACGAAUGGCGUAAUGAUGGCCAGGCUGUCUCCACCCGAGACUCAGUGAAAUUGAACUCGCUGUGAAGAUGCAGUGUACCCGCGGCAAGACGGAAAGACCCCGUGAACCUUUACUAUAGCUUGACACUGAACAUUGAGCCUUGAUGUGUAGGAUAGGUGGGAGGCUUUGAAGCGUGGACGCCAGUCUGCGUGGAGCCAACCUUGAAAUACCACCCUUUAAUGUUUGAUGUUCUAACGUUGGCCCCUUAUCGGGGUUGCGGACAGUGUCUGGUGGGUAGUUUGACUGGGGCGGUCUCCUCCCAAAGCGUAACGGAGGAGCACGAAGGUUAGCUAAUCCUGGUCGGACAUCAGGAGGUUAGUGCAAUGGCAUAAGCUAGCUUGACUGCGAGCGUGACGGCGCGAGCAGGUGCGAAAGCAGGUCAUAGUGAUCCGGUGGUUCUGAAUGGAAGGGCCAUCGCUCAACGGAUAAAAGGUACUCCGGGGAUAACAGGCUGAUACCGCCCAAGAGUUCAUAUCGACGGCGGUGUUUGGCACCUCGAUGUCGGCUCAUCACAUCCUGGGGCUGAAGUAGGUCCCAAGGGUAUGGCUGUUCGCCAUUUAAAGUGGUACGCGAGCUGGGUUUAGAACGUCGUGAGACAGUUCGGUCCCUAUCUGCCGUGGGCGCUGGAGAAUUGAGGGGGGCUGCUCCUAGUACGAGAGGACCGGAGUGGACGCAUCACUGGUGUUCGGGUUGUCAUGCCAAUGGCACUGCCCGGUAGCUAAAUGCGGAAGAGAUAAGUGCUGAAAGCAUCUAAGCACGAAACUUGCCCCGAGAUGAGUUCUCCCUGAGACUAUAAGUCUCCUGAAGGAACGUUAAAGACGAUGACGUUGAUAGGCCGGGUGUGUAAGCGCAGCGAUGCGUUGAGCUAACCGGUACUAAUGAACCGUGAGGCUUAACCUU